This is a long non-coding RNA of Tarenaya hassleriana, 257 nucleotides long. RefSeq lists it as uncharacterized. The record is from RefSeq and is a predicted model, not a curated record. The transcript has 4 exons. NCBI's taxonomy places the organism in Eukaryota, Viridiplantae, Streptophyta, Magnoliopsida, Brassicales, Cleomaceae.
CACGAAAGUCACCCAUGGUUUUCACCGAGAUGUGGAUCUGUUCUAUGUGAGCAAGAGAAAAGUGCCCAAUGGACCUGAUCCCAUUCACAACAGUGUUCCUCUACCAUAUGCCAUUAAUGAACUCGUCUUUCAAAAUGCAUGGAAGCAGAUGAUGUGAUCAUGUUUUAGAGGGCUGAGACAUCUAGACGACCACCAGGAGUCUGAUUUCCUGUUGUGAUACGAUGACCUCGGAAUAUACGCGAAUUCGAACACGUAUU